This 67-nucleotide transfer RNA is filed under the name Phyllomys blainvillii (golden Atlantic tree rat). Its description in RNAcentral is "tRNA-Gly". Lineage: Eukaryota; Metazoa; Chordata; Mammalia; Rodentia; Echimyidae. The record is from RNAcentral.
ACUUUCUUAGUAUACAUAGUACUGCUGACUUCCAAUCAACAAGACCCACAUAUACUGGGAGAAAGUA